RNAcentral lists this ribosomal RNA (1552 nucleotides) under Enterococcus hirae. Its description in RNAcentral is "16S ribosomal RNA". It matches the Rfam family "Bacterial small subunit ribosomal RNA". Lineage: Bacteria; Bacillati; Bacillota; Bacilli; Lactobacillales; Enterococcaceae. The record is from RNAcentral.
AGAGUUUGAUCAUGGCUCAGGACGAACGCUGGCGGCGUGCCUAAUACAUGCAAGUCGAACGCUUCUUUUUCCACCGGAGCUUGCUCCACCGGAAAAAGAGGAGUGGCGAACGGGUGAGUAACACGUGGGUAACCUGCCCAUCAGAAGGGGAUAACACUUGGAAACAGGUGCUAAUACCGUAUAACAAUCGAAACCGCAUGGUUUUGAUUUGAAAGGCGCUUUCGGGUGUCGCUGAUGGAUGGACCCGCGGUGCAUUAGCUAGUUGGUGAGGUAACGGCUCACCAAGGCGACGAUGCAUAGCCGACCUGAGAGGGUGAUCGGCCACAUUGGGACUGAGACACGGCCCAAACUCCUACGGGAGGCAGCAGUAGGGAAUCUUCGGCAAUGGACGAAAGUCUGACCGAGCAACGCCGCGUGAGUGAAGAAGGUUUUCGGAUCGUAAAACUCUGUUGUUAGAGAAGAACAAGGAUGAGAGUAACUGUUCAUCCCUUGACGGUAUCUAACCAGAAAGCCACGGCUAACUACGUGCCAGCAGCCGCGGUAAUACGUAGGUGGCAAGCGUUGUCCGGAUUUAUUGGGCGUAAAGCGAGCGCAGGCGGUUUCUUAAGUCUGAUGUGAAAGCCCCCGGCUCAACCGGGGAGGGUCAUUGGAAACUGGGAGACUUGAGUGCAGAAGAGGAGAGUGGAAUUCCAUGUGUAGCGGUGAAAUGCGUAGAUAUAUGGAGGAACACCAGUGGCGAAGGCGGCUCUCUGGUCUGUAACUGACGCUGAGGCUCGAAAGCGUGGGGAGCAAACAGGAUUAGAUACCCUGGUAGUCCACGCCGUAAACGAUGAGUGCUAAGUGUUGGAGGGUUUCCGCCCUUCAGUGCUGCAGCUAACGCAUUAAGCACUCCGCCUGGGGAGUACGACCGCAAGGUUGAAACUCAAAGGAAUUGACGGGGGCCCGCACAAGCGGUGGAGCAUGUGGUUUAAUUCGAAGCAACGCGAAGAACCUUACCAGGUCUUGACAUCCUUUGACCACUCUAGAGAUAGAGCUUCCCCUUCGGGGGCAAAGUGACAGGUGGUGCAUGGUUGUCGUCAGCUCGUGUCGUGAGAUGUUGGGUUAAGUCCCGCAACGAGCGCAACCCUUAUUGUUAGUUGCCAUCAUUUAGUUGGGCACUCUAGCAAGACUGCCGGUGACAAACCGGAGGAAGGUGGGGAUGACGUCAAAUCAUCAUGCCCCUUAUGACCUGGGCUACACACGUGCUACAAUGGGAAGUACAACGAGUCGCAAAGUCGCGAGGCUAAGCUAAUCUCUUAAAGCUUCUCUCAGUUCGGAUUGUAGGCUGCAACUCGCCUACAUGAAGCCGGAAUCGCUAGUAAUCGCGGAUCAGCACGCCGCGGUGAAUACGUUCCCGGGCCUUGUACACACCGCCCGUCACACCACGAGAGUUUGUAACACCCGAAGUCGGUGAGGUAACCUUUUGGAGCCAGCCGCCUAAGGUGGGAUAGAUGAUUGGGGUGAAGUCGUAACAAGGUAGCCGUAUCGGAAGGUGCGGUUGGAUCACCUCCUU